Molecule: ribosomal RNA, 281 nt
Filed under: uncultured bacterium
Lineage: Bacteria
Description: partial 16S ribosomal RNA
Rfam family: Bacterial small subunit ribosomal RNA
Source: RNAcentral
GCUUCCGAAUCUGAACAGGUGCUGCAUGGCUGUCGUCAGCUCGUGUCGUGAGAUGUUGGGUUAAGUCCCGCAACGAGCGCAACCCUUGUCCUUAUUUGCCAGCGGUUAAUGUGGGAAACCUAAAGGAGAUUGCCGGUGUCCAACCGAAGAAAGGUGGGAACAACUUAAUUCAUCAUGGCCCUUACGGUUUGGGCUACAAACGUGCUACAAUGGGAAGAACAAAGGGCUGCACACCAGCGAUGGUAACCGAAUCCAUUGAAGCUUCUCGUACUCCGGAUUGG